Molecule: long non-coding RNA, 209 nt
Filed under: Mytilus galloprovincialis (Mediterranean mussel)
Lineage: Eukaryota; Metazoa; Mollusca; Bivalvia; Mytilida; Mytilidae
Source: RNAcentral
GCCGUGCGUGUUUUCAGCUCGUGGUCAUUAAUGUUGUCAUCUAAAAUUAGAUAUAAAUUUAAUAAAAAGUUUAAUGCUUGAUGAAAAGAUCAUAAAACUCGGAGGUUGUACGGUACACGUGCUAGUUGAAGUGGUCAUGGUGUUCGUCAAAUUUGACAUGAUAAAAGGUCGUUAUUUUAGCCUGUACUUAGCCUGUGUUAUAAACAUAC